GACGAACGCUGGCGGCGUGCUUAACACAUGCAAGUCGAACGAAGAGCGAUGGAAGCUUGCUUCUAUCACUCUUAGUGGCGAACGGGUGAGUAACGCGUAAUCAACCUGCCCUUCAGAGGGGGACAACAGUUGGAAACGACUGCUAAUACCGCAUACGAUCUGACCUCGGCAUCGAGGAUAGAUGAAAGGUGGCCUCUAUUUAUAAACUAUCACUGAAGGAGGGGAUUGCGUCUGAUUAGCUAGUUGGAGGGGUAACGGCCCACCAAGGCGAUGAUCAGUAGCCGGUCUGAGAGGAUGAACGGCCACAUUGGGACUGAGACACGGCCCAGACUCCUACGGGAGGCAGCAGUGGGGAAUCUUCCGCAAUGGACGAAAGUCUGACGGAGCAACGCCGCGUGAGUGAUGACGGCCUUCGGGUUGUAAAGCUCUGUUAAUCGGGACGAAAGGCCUUCUUGCGAAUAGUUAGAAGGAUUGACGGUACCGGAAUAGAAAGCCACGGCUAACUACGUG
Molecule: ribosomal RNA, 510 nt
Filed under: uncultured bacterium
Lineage: Bacteria
Description: partial 16S ribosomal RNA
Rfam family: Bacterial small subunit ribosomal RNA
Source: RNAcentral